UGGAAGUAAAAAUCGUAACAAGGUUUCCGUAGGUGAACCUGCGGAAGGAUCAUUACUGAGUGCGGGCUGCCUCCGGGCGCCCAACCUCCCACCCGUGAAUACCUAACACUGUUGCUUCGGCGGGGAACCCCCUCGGGGGCGAGCCGCCGGGGACUACUGAACUUCAUGCCUGAGAGUGAUGCAGUCUGAGUCUGAAUAUAAAAUCAGUCAAAACUUUCAACAAUGGAUCUCUUGGUUCCGGCAUCGAUGAAGAACGCAGCGAACUGCGAUAAGUAAUGUGAAUUGCAGAAUUCAGUGAAUCAUCGAGUCUUUGAACGCACAUUGCGCCCCCUGGCAUUCCGGGGGGCAUGCCUGUCCGAGCGUCAUUGCUGCCCAUCAAGCCCGGCUUGUGUGUUGGGUCGUCGUCCCCCCCGGGGGACGGGCCCGAAAGGCAGCGGCGGCACCGUGUCCGGUCCUCGAGCGUAUGGGGCUUUGUCACCCGCUCGACUAGGGCCGGCCGGGCGCCAGCCGACGUCUCCAACCAUUUUUCUUCAGGUUGACCUCGGAUCAGGUAGGGAUACCCGCUGAACUUAAGCAUAUCAAUAAGCGGAGGAAAA
Molecule: unclassified non-coding RNA, 596 nt
Filed under: Aspergillus sydowii
Lineage: Eukaryota; Fungi; Ascomycota; Eurotiomycetes; Eurotiales; Aspergillaceae
Description: sequence contains ITS1, 5.8S rRNA gene, ITS2
Rfam family: 5.8S ribosomal RNA (bases 212-365)
Source: RNAcentral